This 305-nucleotide ribosomal RNA is filed under the name uncultured bacterium. RNAcentral's name for it is "partial 16S ribosomal RNA". It matches the Rfam family "Bacterial small subunit ribosomal RNA", at positions 337 to 659 of the family's 1533-position model. The record is from RNAcentral.
UCCUACGGGGGGCAGCAGUGGGGGAUAUUGCACAAUGGGGGGAACCCUGAUGCAGCGACGCCGCGUGGGUGAAGGAGCGUUUCGGCGCGUAAAGCCCUAUCGGCAGGGAAGAAGAUGACGGUACCUGACCAAGAAGCCCCGGCUAACUACGUGCCAGCAGCCGCGGUAAUACGUAGGGGGCAAGCGUUAUCCGGAUUUACUGGGUGUAAAGGGGGCGUAGACGGCAGGGCAAGUCUGGAGUGAAAGGCGGGGGCUCAACCCCCGGACUGCUCUGGAAACUGCCAGGCUGGAGUGCAGGAGGGGUA